This 433-nucleotide ribosomal RNA is filed under the name uncultured bacterium. RNAcentral's name for it is "partial 16S ribosomal RNA". It matches the Rfam family "Bacterial small subunit ribosomal RNA", at positions 29 to 507 of the family's 1533-position model. The record is from RNAcentral.
AACGUACGCUGGCGGCAUGCCUAACACAUGCAAGUCGAACGAGACCUUCGGGUCUAUUGGCGCACGGGUGCGUAACGCGUGGGAACCUGCCCUUAGGUUCGGAAUAACUCCCCGAAAGGGGUGCUAAUACCGGAUAAUGUCUUCGGACCAAAGAUUUAUCGCCUUUGGAUGGGCCCGCGUUGGAUUAGCUAGUUGGUAGGGUAAAAGCCUACCAAGGCGACGAUCCAUAGCUGGUCUGAGAGGAUGAUCAGCCACACUGGGACUGAGACACGGCCCAGACUCCUACGGGAGGCAGCAGUGGGGAAUAUUGGACAAUGGGCGAAAGCCUGAUCCAGCAAUGCCGCGUGAGUGAUGAAGGCCUUAGGGUUGUAAAGCUCUUUUACCCGGGAUGAUAAUGACAGUACCGGGAGAAUAAGCUCCGGCUAACUCCGUG